GGGCACAUGGUGUAGUUGGUUAUCACAUCCGCUUAGCACUCUGAUACACUGUGUUUAUGCGGGGGGUGCUGGGUUCAAUUCCCAGUGUGUCCA
Molecule: non-coding RNA, 93 nt
Organism: Marasmius sp. AFHP31
Lineage: Eukaryota; Fungi; Basidiomycota; Agaricomycetes; Agaricales; Marasmiaceae
Source: the annotation of a GenBank genome assembly